UGCCAGCAGCGGCGGUUAAACCCAGAAGGCACAAUCAUUUUUUACGGUAAAACAGUUAAGGGAAACACAGUAAAUCACCAAUAUCAUGAGGUAAAAUUCAGAUACUGAGGUAAACCUAUGAAGCGCACUCCGGAACUGUGAAAUCCUUGAGGGAAACUGGGAUUAGAUACCCCACUAUUUCAAGGACAUAAAAAUUUUUAUCAGGGUACUACGAACAAUGUUUAAAACUUAAAGGGCUUGGCGGUAUUUUAGACCCCCCAGGGGAACCUGUCCUGUAAUCGAUAGUCCGCGCAACACCUAACCCUACUUGUUAGUAUGUAUACCGUCGUCGUCUGGCAACCUCCAAAAGGAAAAAAGUUGGCGGCAAACCCCUAAAGUCCCACGUCAGAUCAAGGUGCAGCUCAUGGUAUGGGAAGGAUGGGUUACAAUUAUAACUUAUAUUACCGAAACUGCUUGCAAUAGCUUUCAAAAGGAGGACUUGGAAGUAAGGGAAAUUAUAAAAACACCCUGAAUGAGGCUCUGAAAUGUGUACUAACCGCCCGUCGCUC
RNAcentral lists this ribosomal RNA (548 nucleotides) under Coralliophila panormitana. RNAcentral's name for it is "partial 12S ribosomal RNA". It matches the Rfam family "Microsporidia small subunit ribosomal RNA", at positions 391 to 1204 of the family's 1311-position model. The record is from RNAcentral. Lineage: Eukaryota; Metazoa; Mollusca; Gastropoda; Neogastropoda; Muricidae.